This 260-nucleotide unclassified non-coding RNA is filed under the name Phaeomoniellales sp. RNAcentral describes it as "partial contains 5.8S ribosomal RNA, internal transcribed spacer 2, and large subunit ribosomal RNA". The record is from RNAcentral. Lineage: Eukaryota; Fungi; Ascomycota; Eurotiomycetes; Phaeomoniellales.
CGCACAUUGCGCCCUUUGGUAUUCCGAAGGGCAUGCCUGUUCGAGCGUCAUUAUCCACCCUCAAGCCUGGCUUGUUAUUGGGUCUCUAUCGAUCAAACGAUGGGCCUCAAAGAUAAUGGCGGCGUCACAAUCGACCCCAAGUGCAGCGAGCUUUAAGCAUACACUGAGGCGGUUGUUGUGGCCCGGCCUUCUUGCUUCCUCACGGCAGCAUCAAACACAAGGUUGACCUCGGAUCAGGUAGGAAUACCCGCUGAACUUAA